CACUCCGGUGGCCUAGUGAUUAGAGCGUCCGUCUCUUAUACGGGACGUCACGGGUUAGAACCCCUACCGGGUCA
Molecule: non-coding RNA, 74 nt
Organism: Potamilus streckersoni
Lineage: Eukaryota; Metazoa; Mollusca; Bivalvia; Unionida; Unionidae
Source: the annotation of a GenBank genome assembly